CCCUGGGAGGACACCAGCCCCCAGCCCGGGCCCUGUAGGCGCCAUGGCCCCUUCCCGGGACUGCCCGAGCACAGGCCCCGGCCCCGGAGCCCCCGUGGGCAGAGACGAGGGGAAGGGAGGCACUGAGCGGCAGGGAGAGAUUGUACACAAAUGGGAGGCCUGAGCAGGCUGCCUUUAGCAGGGGAACGUGACCUGACUGCACAGGAGGCAAGGAACUCCCUUCUCUCGCUGACCAUGAGCCCUCAGUUUCAAGGCAGAUGUGAAGAGGAAUAUUUGACCCGUGGGAAAUGCAACUUCAGAUACGUAAGCCAGAUUGUACACAAAUGGGAGGCCUGAGCAGGCUGCCUUUAGCAGGGGAACGUGACCUGACUGCACAGGAGGCAAGGAACUCCCUUCUCUCGCUGACCAUGAGCCCUCAGUUUCAAGGCAGAUGUGAAGAGGAAUAUUUGACCCGUGGGAAAUGCAACUUCAGAUACGUAAGCCAGAUUGUACACAAAUGGGAGGCCUGAGCAGGCUGCCUUUAGCAGGGGAACGUGACCUGACUGCACAGGAGGCAAGGAACUCCCUUCUCUCGCUGACCAUGAGCCCUCAGUUUCAAGGCAGAUGUGAAGAGGAAUAUUUGACCCGUGGGAAAUGCAACUUCAGAUACGUAAGCCAGGUGGGACUGCCAUGUGAGCCCUGUGAUAGGAGCCGUGUAUCCCAACCGUGAACGUAGAGGCUGGGCCCAGUUUUUAGCUUGGUUCAAUAUGAGCUCUGCUGACUGAUUCUGUGAUCAAGAGCAGGCAAGUCUGCCCCCUGAGAGGAUGUUGUCGUGGGUGGAAGGGUUGAAGUGCAGUGACUGCGUCAACAAACAGGUGGUUUGAAAAGUCUUUUGGGCAAGGAUCUGGUACGCUGGUGUAAUGCCUUUUCCCUUUACAAAGGUGUCCAGUAAACACAAGUGUUCCUGCAUGUGUCCAGUAGCGCAGAGACCUCUGUACUUUCUUUGGACUGAUUGUUGUGUAAGAUCUGGGGGUUUUGGGACAGUUCUGAAAAUUGUUCAGAAGGUGUCUUGAAUGUUGGGUGAAAUGGGUCAUCACUUCCAUAAACCUCUAGCCUGUAAAGAAGAGCCAUGGAUGUAAGGAGAUUUUCUUUUUUUCUCUCCUUAUUGUUACUGGGAGGAAAAGCAGUG
Long non-coding RNA from Falco peregrinus (peregrine falcon), 1168 nucleotides. RefSeq lists it as uncharacterized. Lineage: Eukaryota; Metazoa; Chordata; Aves; Falconiformes; Falconidae. The record is from RefSeq and is a predicted model, not a curated record. The transcript is spliced from 4 exons.